Molecule: long non-coding RNA, 1458 nt
Organism: Apteryx haastii (Great spotted kiwi)
Lineage: Eukaryota; Metazoa; Chordata; Aves; Apterygiformes; Apterygidae
Source: Ensembl
AUGGGUGACACUGUUGUGGGUGUUCACUACAGGCCACCUGAUGAGGAAGAGGAAGUCGAUGAGGCCUUCUACAGACAGCUGAAAGCAGCCUCACGAUCCCAGGCCCUGGUUCUCCUGGGGGACUUCAACCACCCCGAUAUCUGCUGGAAAGACAACACAGCUAGGCACAAACAGUCCUGGAGGUUCCUGCAGAGCAUUGGUGACAACUUCUUGACCCAGGUGGUGGAGGAGCCAACAAGGAGAGGUGUGCUGCUGGACCUCGUACUAACAAACAAAGAAGGACUGGUGGAAGAUGUGAAGGUCGGGGGCUGCCUUGGCUGCAGUGACCAUGAGAUGGUGGAGUUCAGGAUCCUGCGAGGAGGAGGCAGGGCACUAAGUAGGAUCACAACCCUGGACUUCAGGAGAGCAAACUUUGGCCUCUUCAGGGACCUACUUGGAGGAAUCCCAUGGGUUAGGGCCCUAGAAGGAAGGGGCGCUCAAGAGAGCUGGUUAAUAUUCAAACAUCACUUCCUCCAGGCUCAAGAUCAGUGCAUCCCUAUGAGUAGGAAGUCAAGCAAAGGAGGCAGGAGACCUGCAUGGAUGAGCAAGGAGCUCCUGGCAAAACUCAAGCAGAAGAAGGAAGUAUACAGAAAGUGGAAAGGGGGACAGGCCACUUGGGAGGAAUAUAGGAAUGUUGUGAGAGUAUGCAGAGAUGCGACGAGGAAGGCUAAGGCCCGUUUGGAAUUAAAUCUGGCAAGAGAUGUCAAGGACAGCAAGAAGGGCUUCUUCAAAUACCUCAGUAGCAAGAGGAAGACUAGGGAAAAUGUGGGCCCUUUGCUGAAUGGGGUGGGUGCCCUGGUGACAAAGGACGCAGAGAAGGCAGAGUUACUGAAUGCUGCCUUUGCUUCAGUCUUUACUGCUCAGGCCAGCCCUCAGGACCCCCAGACCCUGGAGGCAAGAGAGAAAGUCUGGAGAAAGGAAGACUUUCCCUUGGUGGAGGAGGAGUGGGUUAGAGAUCAUUUAAGCAAACUUGACACCCACAAAUCCAUGGGCCCUGAUGGGAUGCACCCACGAGUGCUGAGGGAGCUGGCGGACGUUAUUGCUAAGCCACUCUCCAUCAUCUUUGAAAGGUCAUGGAGAACAGGAGAGGUGCCUGAAGACUGGAAGAAAGCCAAUGUCACCCCAGUCUUCCAAAAGGGCAAGAAGGAGGACCCAGGGAACUACAGGCCAGUCAGCCUCACCUGCAUCCCUGGAAAGGUGAUGGAGCAGCUCAUCCUGGAGGCCAUCUCCAAGCAUGUGGAGGAAAAGAAGGUGAUGAGGAGUAGUCAGCAUGGCUUCACCAAGGGGAAAUCAUGCCUAACCAAUCUGAUAGCCUUCUCUGAUGGAAUGACUGGCUGGGUAGAUGAGGGAGAGCAGUGGAUGUUGUCUACCUUGACUUCAGCAAGGCUUUUGACACUGUCUCCCAUAACACCCUCAUAG